Non-coding RNA from Trichonephila clavipes, 71 nucleotides. The record is from the annotation of a GenBank genome assembly. NCBI's taxonomy places the organism in Eukaryota, Metazoa, Arthropoda, Arachnida, Araneae, Nephilidae.
GGUUCCGUAGUGUAGUGUUUAUCACGUUCGCUUUUACUGCGAGGUCUCCGGUUCGAUCCCGGGCAGAACCA